UACGUAGGGGGCAAGCGUUGUCCGGAAUCAUUGGGCGUAAAGAGCGUGUAGGCGGUCCGUUAAGUCGGCUGUGAAAGUCCAGGGCUCAACCCUGGGAUGCCGGCCGAUACUGGCGGACUAGAGUCCGGAAGAGGUGAGUGGAAUUCCCGGUGUAGCGGUGAAAUGCGCAGAUAUCGGGAGGAAUACCUAUGGCGAAAGCAGGCUACUGGACCGUCACUGACUCUGAUCUGCGAAAGCUAGGGGAGCAAACAGG
This 253-nucleotide ribosomal RNA is filed under the name uncultured bacterium. RNAcentral describes it as "partial 16S ribosomal RNA". It matches the Rfam family "Bacterial small subunit ribosomal RNA", at positions 524 to 776 of the family's 1533-position model. The record is from RNAcentral.